GACGAACGCUGGCGGCGUGCCUAAUACAUGCAAGUCGAACGCGCAGCGAAAGGUGCUUGCACCUUUCAAGCGAGUGGCGAACGGGUGAGUAACACGUGGAUAACCUGCCUCAAGGCUGGGGAUAACAUUUGGAAACAGAUGCUAAUACCGAAUAAAACUUAGUAUCGCAUGAUACAAAGUUAAAAGGCGCUACGGCGUCACCUAGAGAUGGAUCCGCGGUGCAUUAGUUAGUUGGUGGGGUAAAGGCUUACCAAGACGAUGAUGAAUAGCCGAGUUGAGAGAUUAAUCGGCCACAUUGGGACUGAGACACGGCCCAAACUCCUACGGGAGGCUGCAGUAGGGAAUCUUCCACAAUGGGCGCAAGCCUGAUGGAGCAACGCCGCGUGUGUGAUGAAGGCUUUCGGGUCGUAAAGCACUGUUAUAUGGGAAGAAAUGCUAAAAUAGGGAAUGAUUUUAGUUUGACGGUACCAUACCAGAAAGGGACGGCUAAAUACGUGCCAGCAGCCGCCGUAA
Molecule: ribosomal RNA, 513 nt
Filed under: uncultured bacterium
Lineage: Bacteria
Description: partial 16S ribosomal RNA
Rfam family: Bacterial small subunit ribosomal RNA
Source: RNAcentral